GGCCGUGUGGCUCAAUGGCAGAGCGUCUGACUACGAUUCUCUAGAUAAUCAGGAGGUUGCAGGUUCGAGACCUGCCUCGGUCA
Non-coding RNA from Purpureocillium lavendulum, 83 nucleotides. NCBI's taxonomy places the organism in Eukaryota, Fungi, Ascomycota, Sordariomycetes, Hypocreales, Ophiocordycipitaceae. The record is from the annotation of a GenBank genome assembly.